Molecule: transfer RNA, 84 nt
Filed under: Ignavibacteriota bacterium
Lineage: Bacteria; Pseudomonadati; Ignavibacteriota
Also listed under: 4 other names
Description: tRNA-Leu
Rfam family: tRNA
About the family: Transfer RNA (tRNA) molecules are approximately 80 nucleotides in length. Their secondary structure includes four short double-helical elements and three loops (D, anti-codon, and T loops).
Source: RNAcentral
GCGGAAGUGGUGAAAUUGGUAUACACGCUACUUUGAGGGGGUAGUGCCCGUAAGGGCGUGCGGGUUCGAGUCCCGCCUUCCGCA